UUUAAAUGUAAAUUUUUUAUCAAAGUAGUAAUAGUUAUGUUCUUGAAAUUUAAAAAUUUUGGCGGUAUUUUAGUCUAUUCAGAGGAACCUGUCCUAUAAUUGAUAGUCCACGAUAAAUUAUACUUAGAUUAAAAGUUUGUAUAUCGUCGUUUUUAUUUAUUUUAUAAGAAUUAAAAUGAUUAUGGUUUUAAAUUAAAAAAUAAAUCAGAUCAAGGUGCAGUAUAUAUUUAAGAAGAGAUGGGUUACAAUAGAUUUAUUUAUUAAUGAAUUUAUUUAUGAAAAUAAAUAUUGAAGGUGGAUUUGAUAGUAAUUAAAUUUAUAUAAUUUUUUUGAUUUUAGCUCUAAAAUGUGU
RNAcentral lists this ribosomal RNA (352 nucleotides) under Amarodytes sp. KBM-2014. Its description in RNAcentral is "partial 12S ribosomal RNA". The record is from RNAcentral. Lineage: Eukaryota; Metazoa; Arthropoda; Insecta; Coleoptera; Dytiscidae.